CACUUUUGUAUAAUUUUGUUUUUAAUAUUGUCCCUACGUUUUCCAUUAGAUGUUGUUGCAUGGACUUGGCGUCCACACCUGCUUUAGAUUCCAACCUCAGUUGAACAUGAUCCAUGCCAUGCUGGUUUCGGCUCUGGGGAAACAAGCUGAGACUUCCUUGGUUUCGGACUAUAUUUAGUGUUAGGAUUUCAGUGCCUGCUGGCCUAUUUUCUUCAAAAAGACAUCUGCUUCUGAGUAAAGUCAGGGAAGUCGCCCCUGGGGUUCCAGCCUGCUCUCAGCAACUUGGAGUCUCUUCAAAUGUGCAAGUAUUAAAAUUUCUGGCCCCUGGAAUUCACUCAUUAGUAAAAUUAGUUUGUGGCGUCCUUAAUUCUGGGUCAAGUGUGUACAGAGUGUAGUGGUGGAUGGAUGAUCCUCAUCAGUGGGGAAGGUUGAUGCAGGAGGCAGAUGAAACCACCACACUACAAAUAUUCUCCAGAAACGGACACCCGAGAAAGGGUCCCAAUUGAAAACAUUAGAUUCUGAAGGAUGGUCCUGAUCCAAAAUAUCAGCCGACUAAUCCUUCCACAGAUGCUGAAGAUAGACACAAACAGCUGGAGUAACUCAGCGGGACAGGCUGCAUCUCUGGAGAGAUGGAACGGGUGAUGCUUCGGAUUGAGAUCCUUCUUCUGAAGAAGGGUAUCGACCCAAAAAGUCUACUCUGCCAUUCAUUCAUGGCUGAUCUGUCUCUCACCCUCAACCCCAUUCUCCUGCCUUCUCCCCAUAACCCCUGACACCCAUACUAAUCAAGAAUCUAUCUAUCUCUGCCUUAAAAAUAUCGAUUGACGUGGCCUCCACAGCCGUCUGCAGCAAUGAAUUCCACAGAUUCACCACCGUCUGACUAAAUAAAUUCCUCCUCAUCACCUUCCUAAAGGACCAUCCUUUAAUUCUGAGAUAACUCGUGAAAGAGAUAACUCCUAGAGAGCAUGUUUGAUUAUAUUACUGAGAAAUAAUUGUAAGGGCCAAAGAUUCUGAACCUGGAUUCUCAACUGGCCCCUUCUCAAGAGACAAGGAACUGCAGGUGCUAGGAUACAAAAAAAGACACAGUGUGCUGGAGUAACUCAUUGGGUCAGGCAGCAUCUCUGGAGGACAUGGAUAGGUGACGUUUUAGAGAGUGCUGGAGUACAUCUAGGGGUCAGGCAGCAUCUCUGGAGAACAUAGACAUUUUGGGUUCGACUGAUUGUGAGGGUGGGUGGAGAGAAAGCUGAAAGAGAGGUGGGGGCAGGACAAAGUCUUCCUUCCUGGACCCUAUUAGGUAGAACUAGAUUAUGCAAGAGGAAUGGGAAGAUACAGUGCUGGAGUAGCUCAACAGGUCAGGCAGCAUCCCUGGAGACUGUGGAUAGGUGAUGUUUAGGGUUGGGACCCUUCUUCAGACUCCGACCUUAGUCCCGACGUGAAAAGUCACCUAUCCAUGUUCCCCAGAGUUCAAUGAGUUCAUGUGAUAGGAUUAGAUUCAGGCCCUUGUCCUACUUGCUAUGUUCGGUGUGAGGUGCAUGUCCAAUGGAGAAUGCAUGGGUGAAUUAUGGUGGAACUCCCAAACUCUUGAAUGUGCCUGAAACAACUCAUUCCAACAUUUUGUGUCUAUCUUCAGUGUAAACCAGUAUCUGCAUGUCCUUGCAACACAUAUAUCGUACAGUUUGGUGAGAUAGUCAAGUCUAUUGCGAUUCAAUGCACACAAAUAUAGCAUUUGACCUCACUUCUCAGCUUGUGAUUUCACAUUCCAACUUAACGCCUUCAUGGUCAGGUUAAGAACUCCAGCACUUUGUGUUUUUUGUCAUUUGUUUUGUAUAAUGGCAGUCUCUGUGUCAGCUCAAUGCCUGGUGACUGCGGUCGGAAACUGCCAGCCCAUGUCUCACUCAUAUGGAAUGUGGGCAUGAUGAUAAUCUCGGCCUCAGAAUGUGCAGCAUCUGACACGUUUACUGAUGGUUACUGCGAUGUACACUGAUCGCAUCUAGCACCCCAAACGAUACCACACAUCAACCAUUUUAUUUGCCAUGUGUAGGAAGCAACUGCAGAUGUUGGUUCAAGUUCAAGUGAGUUUAUUGUCAUGUGUCCCUGUAUAAGACAAUGAAAUUCUUGCUUUGCUUAAGCGCACAGAAAAUAAUAGGCAUUUACUACAAAACAAAUAAAUGUGUCCAUAUACCAUGAUAUAAAUAUAUACACACAUGAAUAAAUAAACUGGUAAAGUGCAAAUAACAGAAAGUGGUUAUUAAUAAUCAGAGUUUUGUCCGAGCCAGGUUUAAUAGCCCGAUGGCUGUGGGGAAGUAGCUAUUCCUGAACCUGGUUGUUGCAGUCUUCAGGCUCCAAGAUAGUCUUCAAGAUAGACUGGAAUAACUCAGCAGGACCGGCAGCAUCUCCGGAGAUAAGGAAUAGGUGACGUUUUGGGCCGAGACCCUUCUUCAGACCCUUUUUUUGCUGUUUGAAAAUUCUCCAGAUGACAAUGUCUCAUCUUCUCCAGGGUGGUUUGUGCUAUUUAAACUGGUGCCGAGAGUAGAGUGAAGUAUUGGUCAGGUUGAGAAUCAUCCCUGUUACCUGGUUAGAUAGCGGCAAUCUGCAAAGGAAUAGGUGACAUUUCGGGUCAAAGAUUUCAACAGUCUUUUAUUGUCACAAGUACCAGUUAGGGUACAGUGAUAUGCAAAUUACCAUGCAGCCAUACGAAAAGAAAAAGAAAAAGAAAAAAAAAAACGUUUAACCCUUUCCUGUCAGAUCGACAAGAACACUUCAAAUUCACGUCUGGUCUGCUG
Molecule: long non-coding RNA, 2780 nt
Organism: Leucoraja erinaceus (little skate)
Lineage: Eukaryota; Metazoa; Chordata; Chondrichthyes; Rajiformes; Rajidae
Exons: 2
Source: RefSeq, a predicted model, not a curated record